RNAcentral lists this ribosomal RNA (253 nucleotides) under uncultured bacterium. Its description in RNAcentral is "partial 16S ribosomal RNA". It matches the Rfam family "Bacterial small subunit ribosomal RNA", at positions 524 to 776 of the family's 1533-position model. The record is from RNAcentral.
UACGGGGGGGGCAAGCGUUGUUCGGAAUUACUGGGCGUAAAGGGCUCGUAGACGGCCAACUAAGUCCGACGUGAAAUCCCCAGGCUUAACCUGGGAACUGCGUCGGAUACUGGAUGGCUUGAAUUCGGGAGAGGGAUGCAGAAUUCCAGGUGUAGCGGUGAAAUGCGUAGAUAUCUGGAGGAAUACCGGUGGCGAAGGCGGCAUCCUGGACCAAUAUUGACGCUGAGGAGCGAAAGCCAGGGGAGCAAACGGG